This 4480-nucleotide long non-coding RNA is filed under the name Musa acuminata (dwarf banana). RNAcentral's name for it is "long non-coding RNA (MACU_LNC002339)". The record is from RNAcentral. Lineage: Eukaryota; Viridiplantae; Streptophyta; Magnoliopsida; Zingiberales; Musaceae.
CUAUAAAUACCGGGUUCGAUGCUGCUCCUCUACUCACUCCAAGACCUCCACUCCACAUAUCCAUCACGCUUGCAUCGGCCUCGUUGAUCUCCUACUCCAUCAGGCUGCAAUGGCUGUCGUCACCACCGAGAGGUCUUUCGGUCUUGGCCUGGUCGUCACCAUGGUGAAGGACACCGCCUUACGCAGUGUGAAGCAACGAGAGGAUGGUGGUGACAAUGACGCCGACGACGACGACGACGACUACGAUGUGGCACCAGCUGCGUGAUGGCGUCGAGUAGAGGGUCUAUAAUAUGUAUAUUGUAGGGUUAUCAGAUCCAAUGCAACAAGUGUAACCAGUUUCAUUCCUAUGUUAUGACUAAGACCGGAAGAUUUAGUAGCUGCUGCUGAACUAAUCAUGCUCAGAUCCUUGAGAAAUAUCUUAGCCGAUCAUGCUGAGCUCGUGUACACUCUCAUAGUUGAUGCCUAUCAUCAUAACUUGUUCUUCGUCACCAUUGAAAACCUAGAGCUCUAUCCAGUGGAUCCAAAACUCCACUGCAUCAUGCAUGGCUUUCGAUCUCCUGCCGUUGUGUGGGGAUCCGUGCAUGCGUAUUCUCUCGACAAGUGGUCGAUGUGCUGAAACUUUCUGGGCUGAGGAGAAGCUGAUCCAUCCGACAUGGAGAUGCAACAUCAGCACAAGUUACGUUAGCAGCUUAAUGAAGGGGCCUCCUAGCCGUAAAUGGCUGGCACUUGGUACAUUCACAAAGGCUCCAUUAGUUUCAGCAGGCCAUGACCGAAUCCAUCGGACGUCCAAUGUUUGGUUCUUGGUCGAAACACUCUGUCUUUCCUUUGGCAUCUGGUAGAAUACUACGCAGUAAAUUUGCUGUGCCGGAAAUUCCAAGAAAUGGUGAAGUUCUUUGCAGACUGGGACGAACUCGAACCUAAAAAGCAGUGGAAACCAUUCAUAACUUGAUGAGGCAGAUACUGCAGUUAUUACACCAAAAUGUUGAUGCCACCAUAUCCUGAGAAUAGAAUGUGGCAUAAAUCUGAGUCAGAAAGCAGAAGUAAAUAUAUGGAAUAUAUGGCUGAGCACUACAUCUACAUUAUGAUUAUUUACAUAUUGAAUGGACAAAAUUCAUUGCUAUUAUUCAGCUACAUUUGUAUGAACAUAUGACUUUCUUCUAUGGGACACACAGAGAAAAUAGAAAUGUCUGUAUGAAAGUCAUAAUUUGAGAGGAGAGAACCGAAACCACUAUACAUACAUAUAUAUAUAUAUAUAUAUAUAUAUAUAUAUAUAUAUAUAUAUAUAUAUAUAUAUAUAUAUUCAUGUGACAGUUACCAGGAGAUUUAUGUGGUUACUCCAAGUUGACGGGGGAGAGCAGUUCAGAGUCAGGUUGACUCCUCUUUGACCAGAGUCCGGCACGUGCGCCCUCCGUCCGCCGUGGCACCUGCCGCCAACCCUAAGAACGUGCAUGGGUAGCCGCAUCCACGUGGAGACCGUGCGCCGCGACCACCCUCCAUGAGCCAGGACCAAACCCGCGGGUCCCGUGCGCCGCGUCGGGCGAACAUGUGGAAGAGAGCACCGUGGCACCACCACCACCACCCCACGAGACCUCCUUUUCCUUCCCCCAGACACCGGCCGGCCCCAGCCGGUAGUGAAAGCUGAAAACCAUCCCCCACCGAGGCAUCUCCUCAUGCUUUGCCCCAUAUAAAUACUAGCUUCGAUGCUGCUUCUCUCCUCACCCGAAAAGCGUCCACUAUAUACGUGUAUCAUCAUCGUCGUCGUCUACCGGCUGCAAUGGAUGUCGUCACCACCGUGGUGACAAUGAUGAUGAUUGAUGAUGACAACGACGAGGACGGCAACGAUGUGGCACCAGCUGCCUGAUGAUAUUGAGCGAAGAGUUUGAUGCUCUGUAGUAUGUACGUUAGGAUGAUUAUGGCAGGUCUACUGUUUUCGGAGGCUCAAACAAAAUUGCUUCACUUAAAUGUGAAAGAUAUGCUGUAGGGUUUUCGGAUCCAAAUAAAGAAAUGUUGUUUGACAGCUUUAGUGGAGUUACUGCUGAGCUCAAAAUGCUCAAACCCUCAUGAAGCUAAUCUUAACCAGUGUUCUAUACAUCGGCCUUCAAUCGUGCUGAGCUGGUGUGCAGUCUCCCAGAAGUGGAGACACAAGCAGUCCAUCAAUCACAGCGAAGAGCAUCUCCAUUUUAGGGUUCUUUUAGUCCAAAUACAUCUCCUUUGUUUGGUAGAAUAACAUGCAACAGAUCUGUUGUGAUGAAAAAUCUAAGAAAUAUUGCUGCUAUUUGUUUGACUUGGAUCUCAUGAUACAUGCAGUAGAAAAAGAUCUUAAACCUAAAACACAACGAAAACCAGUUCAUACCUUGAAGUUGCUGAUGCCAAGUGUUGAUGCCAUCAUAUCAAUAAGCGGGCAUAGUAAUAAUAUGGAGACCGUCCUGGGAAUAGAACAUGGAAUUCAAUUUUCUCCACCAUAUCAAUAAUAUGUCAGCAGUUCUGACAUGGCUGAACUAUACCUAUAAUAUGGUGAUCUACAAAUUAGAUGGACAAAAAGCCGUCUGCUAUUAUACAGCUACAUCAGCCUUACCAACUAAAUUGUAUGAGCAGAUCUAUCCAGCCACGAAUGAACUGUGCAUAUUAACGCAGUUGACUGUAAGUGUUUAUUUUGGUCCCCUCCUCUGACUGAUAAUAUCAUUCCUUUGUACGUCCAACGGUUGAAAACUUAUAGAGAAUAUUUUCAUUUUUUUGAAGAAAUUUAUAAGGUAUUAUUAUGUUACUUUACAUACAUAUCUCUCUUAUUUUCUGAAAAAUAUAUUUUGUGGAUUAAUGAUAACUAAAAUAAUCAUGUUGACCGCCACUUCAAAGGUCAACACUAUGUGUGUCGUGCAAUCAAUCAUAUACACAUAUAUAUUUAUGUACGUCCGUACAGUUCUUGCUGUCAAAUAUGUACCUGUAGUGUAUCUCUCUACGCAAAUAAUCUUGAUGCCAAGGCCUACGUAUACAUCUGUUGACGACGAAGACUAGCCUCGUACGAAGGCUGACUUUUCUUUGACCUCCUUCAGAAUCAGGCUGACUUCGCGUUGACCCGAGUCCUGCACGCACCCCCGGGACGCUGAGAACGUGCAUGGAUCGUCGCCUCCACGUGGAGACCGUGCACGGCCACCACCCUCCAUGAGCCAUGCCCGAACCAGUGGGUCCCAUCCGCCACGCCGGACGAGAAUGUGGACGAGAGCCGCCGUGGUCGGAACCCUCCCUUUCCCUUCUCCAUGAGAGAGAUACGGCUUAGGGCAAAAGGCGAAGAAGGCAUCAUCAGCUCCCACUGCGGCAACCCUUAUAAAUACCAGGCUCCACGCCGCGUCUCUCCUCACUCCAAACCCUCCACUGUCUUCUCGAUCUCCUCCUCGAUCAAGCUGCAAUGGCUGUCGUCUCCACGGAGAGGUCUCUUCUCCCUGGCCCGGUGGUCGCCGAGGUGCCGGACAUGGCCCUACGCAGCGUGGUGCGUCGAGAGAAUGGUCGCGGCGACGACGACGACGACGACGACGACAAUGAUGUGGCACCAGCUGCCUGACUGAUGAUGUUGAGUAAAGAACCUAAGGUUUAUUAGAUAUAUGAUGAGGUCAGGGUAGGUAUAGAUAUAUACAUACCCUAACUUAGUUUGUAGUCCAUAUAUAUAAAUAUAUGUGGAUGGGAGUGAAAUCUAGAGCUGCUGAGUAUGCAGUUAUUUGGUGGUGAUGAAAGAGGGACCUCACUCUUUUACUGUAGUAUAGUUGAUGGAGUUCUCCAUGUAGUAGCUAGUUAUAAUUAACUCGAUGGUAGUAUCUAUUACUUCCCAUGGUUGAUGAGAUACAAUGGAAGAUGCAUGGUUGUAAUAGUAGGUAAGUUACUCAUCCAUGAUUACUUGAAGCUUCUUUGUGUACUAACUGCAAAUGGCUUCUUUUGCUUGCACAAACAGUUGUCUAAAAGGCUAGUGGCAUUACCAUGCAUUAUUAUCUUGUGUGAAUAGGAAGCAAGGGAUUUGAUCCUACGAAAUAUAGAAGAAGAUUAAGCACUUACUUAGCCUUUAAUUUUUGAUGCAGUGAUGACUAUAUUUUAUGCAUCAUUUGCCAGUUUUGCUUUCAAUAUUGGGAGAAUCAAUAUUGUAUGCAGCUCAAGAAAGCUACUAUAAUCAAUAACUUAGUUUCAAGCAUCCAUGUAAUCGUAUAAUUAUGUGUUUUGGGAAAAAUGAUUUACUCUUUUCCACACAAAAUAACAUAUAGGGCAUAUAAACAAGUUGGACAUAGUUUGAGGAUACAUGAUUAAUUUCUACAAGAGAAAACAUUGAUGAUUUAGCACCUUAAUGGUAAUAAAUACUUUCAUUUUGUACACUAGAAAUGCAUGAACGAUUAGUGUAAAUAUCUACAGAUCUAUUGCUUAUAAGUAAUUGCCAACAAAAUUGCAAUUUAUGUGGUUAUAAAUUUAACUGAAAGACAUAUACACACCCAUACAAGUUAAC